AGUCAAGCUUUUGAUUUUUCGGUUUGAACUUUGGACGGAAUGCGACACAUAAAAAAAGAAAAAAGAAAAAGCAAGACAUAGGACCCAAGAUGCUUGGUUUUAACUUUUUUCAUUUUGGACGGACUUGAAUUUGAGUUUGGGUCUUUUACUCUUUUACGAAGCAAGACGCAGGACACAGUUCCUUGGUGUGACGUUUUCAGACUGAGAGGAUGGAUUGCACAGAUAGUUAUAGACUUUGCAUUGUUUUUAUUUGGCCCGUGAGCAGAGUGAGAGGACUGAGGAGAGACCGUGAGAUUAAAAACUCAAAAAUUCAAAACCCUAAUAUUUCGAAAGAGGGUCCUCAUCUCAGUGGUGCGUUGUGUUUUUUCUUCAUCUCAGAAAGAAGAUCUAACUUAUAAGGAGAUUUUACUGCCCUGACAUGAAUUGCUGGCAUGUUGUAUAUUUUUGCCUUUUGGCAUAAUGCUAUUUAUUAUUAAAUUGUUAUUUUGUUAUAUCAUAUUGCUAAUGAUAUCUUGUGUGUUUUGUAUCAUAGGUUGAUAGGGAUUGUCUUCUGGCAGGUUUUUUAUUUUUUGUGAAUUGAUCUACUAAAAAUACUUAAAGGAAGUAUGCUUAUAAGACAUGCUAUUUAAGUAGGGAUGUAAUUAUUUUUGUAAAAAAAACUUGUUGACUCGUCGAAGCUAUCCAGCUAGACAAGGUUGCUAGAAAUUUGAUUUUUUUUUUUUAAAACUUGGACAUAGGUAAUUUCAUUAUUUGAAUAGCUGACUUGAAUUGCAAAAGUAUAUGGAAUGUUGCAAACCACUGUUUUUUUACUUGAUGGAGAAAUAUGGAUAACAUGAAGUAAUUUUUUGUAGUGUUUUAUUUUUGUACUUGGUGCUCAAAGAAAUGGUUUAACAUGUUGAUAUUGCUUUCAUGUUUGUUACUCUUGGCUAUUAUUAUUAGGUUGUUUAUUACUUUUAUUUAUUGUUCUACAGGUUAUUAUUCAACUAUUAUGUUUCAUUCAUUUUUAGACCAAGUGUUUAUUAUUAGUGUUUAUCAUUUUAUCAAUAAGUUGCUUAAUCUUAGUUAAGAUUAGUGAAUUUAUUAAUGUUUAUAUAUUUUUUAUUCUCUUUAAACUAAGACAAACUUUUACACACUUAUGUAACUGUCAAAUGUAGAAUUAGCUCAUAUAUUCAAAGGUGAAGGCCAACAUAUUUACAUUGAUUUAUUUCUAAUGAGAAUGUUAGCUCCUAUAUCACAUGUGCAUAAGAAAUGGGGCUGAAAUGAAUAAGAGUUGGUGGACUUUUCAGCUUGUAAAUUUGAAUAUAUGAUUUAGAAGUUAUUAUUGUGAAUUUGUGAUUCCUUAGAAGUUGGAAUUAUUUACUUGUUUCAGUUUUUAACUAUAUUUUGGCAAGUGAUGAAUCAUUGAUUUAUUUGCAAUAAGAAUGCUGUGAAUAAACAAUGCUAUGUAAUGUGUUGCUGUGCAUCAGAGUGGCUCAAGUGAAUAAGAGUUGGAGGGUUUUUUUCUAGUAUUUAUUUAGUUUGUUUUCCUAGUUGAUGCUAUAAUUAGUGUUCUACCAUUUGAAAUUGUAAUUUAUUGUUAUACCUUAGAAGUUGGAAUUAUGUACCUAUUUGUAACUAUAUUGUGGCAAGUGAUGAAUCAUUGAUUUAUUUGCAAAAAGAUGUUGUUUAAGCAAUGCUAUGUCAUGUGCUGCUGACUGCUGCGCAUCAGAAAUGGGGCUGAUCCGGCUAAACUCAUGAAUAAGAGUUGAAGAAUAUUCUUCUACCA
Molecule: long non-coding RNA, 1765 nt
Organism: Juglans microcarpa x Juglans regia
Lineage: Eukaryota; Viridiplantae; Streptophyta; Magnoliopsida; Fagales; Juglandaceae
Exons: 2
Source: RefSeq, a predicted model, not a curated record